CCUACGGGAGGCAGCAGUGAGGAAUAUUGGUCAAUGGACGAGAGUCUGAACCAGCCAAGUAGCGUGAAGGAUGACUGCCCUAUGGGUUGUAAACUUCUUUUAUAAAGGAACAAAACGAGGCACGUGUGCCUUUUUGCAUGUACUUUAUGAAUAAGGAUCGGCUAACUCCGUGCCAGCAGCCGCGGUAAUACGGAGGAUCCGAGCGUUAUCCGGAUUUAUUGGGUUUAAAGGGAGCGUAGAUGGGUUGUUAAGUCAGUUGUGAAAGUUUGCGGCUCAACCGUAAAAUUGCAAUUGAUACUGGCAGUCGUGAGUACAGUUGAGGUAGGCGGAAUUCGUGGUGUAGCGGUGAAAUGCUUAGAUAUCACGAAGAACCCCGAUUGCGAAGGCAGCUUACUAAACUGUGACUGACAUUGAUGCUCGAAAGUGUGGGUAUCAAACAGGAUUAGAUACCCGAGUAGUC
RNAcentral lists this ribosomal RNA (460 nucleotides) under uncultured bacterium. RNAcentral's name for it is "partial 16S ribosomal RNA". It matches the Rfam family "Bacterial small subunit ribosomal RNA", at positions 338 to 795 of the family's 1533-position model. The record is from RNAcentral.